Molecule: ribosomal RNA, 393 nt
Filed under: uncultured bacterium
Lineage: Bacteria
Description: partial 16S ribosomal RNA
Rfam family: Bacterial small subunit ribosomal RNA
Source: RNAcentral
AUACGGAGGAUGCGAGCGUUAUCCGGAUUUAUUGGGUUUAAAGGGAGCGUAGGUGGGAUAUUAAGUCAGCUGUGAAAGUUUGGGGCUCAACCUUAAAAUUGCAGUUGAUACUGGUUUCCUUGAGUACGGUACAGGUGGGCGGAGUUCGUGGUGUAGCGGUGAAAUGCUUAGAUAUCACGAAGAACUCCGAUCGCGAAGGCAGCUCACCGGGCCGGAACUGACACUGAUGCUCGAAAGUGCGGGUAUCAAACAGGAUUAGAUACCCUGGUAGUCCGCACAGUAAACGAUGAAUACUCGCUGUUUGCGAUACACGGUAAGCGGCCAAGCGAAAGCGUUAAGUAUUCCACCUGGGGAGUACGCCGGCAACGGUGAAACUCAAAUGAAUUGACGGGG